AGAGUUUGAUCCUGGCUCAGGAUGAACGCUGGCGGCGUGCUUAACACAUGCAAGUCGAACGAUGAUCCGGUGCUUGCACCGGGGAUUAGUGGCGAACGGGUGAGUAACACGUGAGUAACCUGCCCUUAACUCUGGGAUAAGCCUGGGAAACUGGGUCUAAUACCGGAUAUGACUCCUCAUCGCAUGGUGGGGGGUGGAAAGCUUUUUGUGGUUUUGGAUGGACUCGCGGCCUAUCAGCUUGUUGGUGAGGUAAUGGCUUACCAAGGCGACGACGGGUAGCCGGCCUGAGAGGGUGACCGGCCACACUGGGACUGAGACACGGCCCAGACUCCUACGGGAGGCAGCAGUGGGGAAUAUUGCACAAUGGGCGCAAGCCUGAUGCAGCGACGCCGCGUGAGGGAUGACGGCCUUCGGGUUGUAAACCUCUUUCAGUAGGGAAGAAGCGAAAGUGACGGUACCUGCAGAAGAAGCGCCGGCUAACUACGUGCCAGCAGCCGCGGUAAUACGUAGGGCGCAAGCGUUAUCCGGAAUUAUUGGGCGUAAAGAGCUCGUAGGCGGUUUGUCGCGUCUGCCGUGAAAGUCCGGGGCUCAACUCCGGAUCUGCGGUGGGUACGGGCAGACUAGAGUGAUGUAGGGGAGACUGGAAUUCCUGGUGUAGCGGUGAAAUGCGCAGAUAUCAGGAGGAACACCGAUGGCGAAGGCAGGUCUCUGGGCAUUAACUGACGCUGAGGAGCGAAAGCAUGGGGAGCGAACAGGAUUAGAUACCCUGGUAGUCCAUGCCGUAAACGUUGGGCACUAGGUGUGGGGGACAUUCCACGUUUUCCGUACCGUAGCUAACGCAUUAAGGCC
RNAcentral lists this ribosomal RNA (849 nucleotides) under uncultured bacterium. RNAcentral describes it as "bacterial SSU rRNA". It matches the Rfam family "Bacterial small subunit ribosomal RNA", at positions 8 to 868 of the family's 1533-position model. The record is from RNAcentral.